This is a long non-coding RNA of Carassius auratus (goldfish), 615 nucleotides long. NCBI's taxonomy places the organism in Eukaryota, Metazoa, Chordata, Actinopteri, Cypriniformes, Cyprinidae. The record is from Ensembl.
AGAGCUUCUGCCUGUAUGUUGUUUAAAAGCUUUCAAACACUUGUGAGGAUUCACUUCCAGCCUGUACUUGUAAAAUAAAUUUAUUCUGCUCAUAACUGCUGCAACAUGUUAAUGUAGGCCUAUGUGAAAGUUAGGCCUACAAUUCACAUAUUUAUUAUUUACAAUACUGAGGAAAAGUACUGCAUUAAUUUGUUACUUUAUUUGCAUUACUGUUUUUAACUGUCCUGAUAGUUAGCCAAUUUACUAACAUUGUUUCAUGAUGCAUUUGCCGUUUCAAUGGUGCAGAGGCUGAAGGAGUUCUGUAGGGAGCGCUGUGGAGUGAAGGCUGAGGGAGGAUCAGGGCUGGACCGCUGGAGACUCACCCCUGCCUUCUAUGACAAAACCCAGCCUUCUCAUGAAAUGAGUCACCAGAACUACACAUGCAGUGAGUACAGGGCACAGAGUCUGCAUGUGUCUUCAGCAAGAAAUAUCAUAGCACAAACCGAAAGAUCACAGGAGUCACUCUACAACUACAGAAUCUGAUCGUCAAGACUUCAUAGAAAAUCUUACAGCUAUUGUAAGUGAAGUACGUAAUUCAGAGCAGAGGAUCGACUGUUGUAGACGACUGCAAAGAGA